CCACUCUGGAAAGCGAUCCGCUCGUGCGGAUCCGCCGACGGUGAAAGCCGAGUCAUCCUGAUCGAUGUCUCGGCGAAACUCUCAGGCAGAUGACAGAGGGGGAGUU
This 106-nucleotide non-coding RNA is filed under the name Microbacterium sp. C448. RNAcentral describes it as "Glycine". It matches the Rfam family "Glycine riboswitch aptamer". From Rfam's summary of the family: This family represents the bacterial glycine riboswitch. Glycine riboswitches usually consist of two metabolite-binding aptamers domains with similar structures in tandem. The record is from RNAcentral. Lineage: Bacteria; Bacillati; Actinomycetota; Actinomycetes; Micrococcales; Microbacteriaceae.